RNAcentral lists this ribosomal RNA (578 nucleotides) under uncultured bacterium. RNAcentral describes it as "bacterial SSU rRNA". It matches the Rfam family "Bacterial small subunit ribosomal RNA", at positions 102 to 677 of the family's 1533-position model. The record is from RNAcentral.
ACGGGUGAGGAACGCGUAGGAAUCUGCCUUACAGAGGAGGACAACUAGAGGAAACUCUAGCUAAUACUGCAUAAACUCUGAGGAGCAAAAGCUAGGUAGCAAUACCUGGCGCUGUAAGAGGAGCCUGCGUCCGAUUAGCUAGUUGGUAGGGUAAAGGCCUACCAAGGCGAUGAUCGGUAGCUGGUCUGAGAGGAUGAUCAGCCACACUGGGACUGAGACACGGCCCAGACUCCUACGGGAGGCAGCAGUGGGGAAUAUUGGACAAUGGGGGCAACCCUGAUCCAGCAAUGCCGCGUGUGUGAAGAAGGCCUUCGGGUUGUAAAGCACUUUAGGUUGGGAAGAAGGUGCGUAGUUUAAGAGAUGACGUACUUGACUGUACCAACAGAAUAAGCACCGGCUAACUCUGUGCCAGCAGCCGCGGUAAUACAGAGGGUGCAAGCGUUAAUCGGAGUUACUGGGCGUAAAGGGCGCGUAGGCGGUUAGAUAAGUGAGAUGUGAAAGCCCUGGGCUUAACCUAGGAAUUGCAUCUUAUACUGUUUGACUAGAGUACUGUAGAGGGUAGUGGAAUUUCCGGUGUA